RNAcentral lists this long non-coding RNA (228 nucleotides) under Panax ginseng (ginseng). RNAcentral's name for it is "long non-coding RNA (PGIN_LNC004167)". Lineage: Eukaryota; Viridiplantae; Streptophyta; Magnoliopsida; Apiales; Araliaceae. The record is from RNAcentral.
GGGAUGCACGAAUGCAAAUGUAGUCCUUUGUGUGUUAUUAUAACAUAAUCUAAAGAGAAUGAUAACAUAUUGGACAUGUAAUAGGAUGUUGUAUCAAGUUAUUAAUGUUUAUAUGGUGCAAUGACAUGAUCACUUAAGUAGUUGUAAUAAAGCUAAAAUGUGAUGCUCAUUAAAAGAUGUGAUGUUGUUUAAACUUAAACUUAGUUAGUGAGCUCCACUAAACGUGGG